RNAcentral lists this ribosomal RNA (440 nucleotides) under uncultured bacterium. RNAcentral describes it as "partial 16S ribosomal RNA". It matches the Rfam family "Bacterial small subunit ribosomal RNA", at positions 338 to 795 of the family's 1533-position model. The record is from RNAcentral.
CCUACGGGAGGCAGCAGUGAGGGAUAUUGGUCAAUGGGGGAAACCCUGAACCAGCGACGCCGCGUGAGGGAAGACGGUUUUCGGAUUGUAAACCUCUGUCCUCUGUGAAGAUAAUGACGGUAGCUGAGGAGGAAGCUCCGGCUAACUACGUGCCAGCAGCCGCGGUAAUACGUAGGGAGCAAGCGUUGUCCGGAUUUACUGGGUGUAAAGGGUGCGUAGGCGGCCCUGCAAGUCAGAAGUGAAAUCCCGGGGCUUAACCCGUGAACUGCUUUUGAAACUGUAAGGCUUGAGUGAAGUAGAGGUAAGUGGAAUUCCCGGUGUAGCGGUGAAAUGCGUAGAGAUCAGGAGGAACACCAGUGGCGAAGGCGGCCUGCUGGGCUGUAACUGACGUUGAAGCUCGAAAGCGUGGGUAGCAAACAGGAUUAGAUACCCUUGUAGUC